This 377-nucleotide ribosomal RNA is filed under the name uncultured organism. Its description in RNAcentral is "partial 16S ribosomal RNA". It matches the Rfam family "Bacterial small subunit ribosomal RNA", at positions 527 to 896 of the family's 1533-position model. The record is from RNAcentral.
GUAGGUGGCAAGCGUUGUCCGGAAUUAUUGGGCGUAAAGCGCGCGCAGGCGGUUCUUUAAGUCUGAUGUGAAAGCCCACGGCUCAACCGUGGAGGGUCAUUGGAAACUGGAGAACUUGAGUACAGAAGAGGAAAGCGGAAUUCCACGUGUAGCGGUGAAAUGCGUAGAGAUGUGGAGGAACACCAGUGGCGAAGGCGGCUUUCUGGUCUGUAACUGACGCUGAGGCGCGAAAGCGUGGGGAGCAAACAGGGAUUAGAUACCCUGGUAGUCCACGCCGUAAACGAUGAGUGCUAAGUGUUAGGGGGUUUCCGGUCCCCCCUUAGUGCUGCAGCUAACGCAUUAAGCACUCCGCCCUGGGGAGUACGGCCGCAAGGCUG